GACGAACGCUGGCGGCGUGCUUAACACAUGCAAGUCGAGCGGAAAGGCCCUGCUUUUGUGGGGUGCUCGAGUGGCGAACGGGUGAGUAACACGUGAGUAACCUGCCCUUGACUUUGGGAUAACUUCAGGAAACUGGGGCUAAUACCGGAUAGGAGCUCCUGCUGCAUGGUGGGGGUUGGAAAGGUUCGGCGGUUGGGGAUGGACUCGCGGCUUAUCAGCUUGUUGGUGGGGUAGUGGCUUACCAAGGCUUUGACGGGUAGCCGGCCUGAGAGGGUGACCGGCCACAUUGGGACUGAGAUACGGCCCAGACUCCUACGGGAGGCAGCAGUGGGGAAUAUUGCACAAUGGGCGGAAGCCUGAUGCAGCAACGCCGCGUGCGGGAUGACGGCCUUCGGGUUGUAAACCGCUUUCGCCUGUGACGAAGCGUGAGUGACGGUAAUGGGUAAAGAAGCACCGGCUAACUACGUG
This 468-nucleotide ribosomal RNA is filed under the name uncultured bacterium. Its description in RNAcentral is "partial 16S ribosomal RNA". It matches the Rfam family "Bacterial small subunit ribosomal RNA", at positions 28 to 507 of the family's 1533-position model. The record is from RNAcentral.